ACUAGUCAUACAAUCGCCUACUGCACCCAUUUGUACUGCAAUCGGAACGGCUGGUCUUCCUGACGCCAUUGAAUUUCUUGUUCCGCUAAACUCCGUUUUAAAAUAAUCUCUGUUUUUUCUUAUUCUAAUUUUUGAGCUCUCAGUACUCCUCGAUUUACUGUUAUUUUCUACAAAUAGUUUUAUUGGUUGAAUUGUAGGUGAAAACGUUGGAUUUUGAAAUACAAUAUAGUUAUUUUUAUUGGCGACCAAUUUGUGCCAAUCUGAAGAGCCACUAUUGCUUGUUUCAGUGGUACCCCCUAUUGAAAAAAUACCCAAUAG
RNAcentral lists this long non-coding RNA (318 nucleotides) under Physcomitrium patens. RNAcentral's name for it is "long non-coding RNA (PPAT_LNC008472)". The record is from RNAcentral. Lineage: Eukaryota; Viridiplantae; Streptophyta; Bryopsida; Funariales; Funariaceae.